GUGGGGAAUUUUGGACAAUGGGCGCAAGCCUGAUCCAGCAAUGCCGCGUGCAGGAAGAAGGCCUUCGGGUUGUAAACUGCUUUUGUACGGAACGAAACGGUCCGGGUUAAUACCCUGGGCUAAUGACGGUACCGUAAGAAUAAGCACCGGCUAACUACGUGCCAGCAGCCGCGGUAAUACGUAGGGUGCAAGCGUUAAUCGGAAUUACUGGGCGUAAAGCGUGCGCAGGCGGUUUUGUAAGACAGGCGUGAAAGCCCCGGGCUCAACCUGGGAAUUGCGCUUGUGACUGCAAGGCUGGAGUGCGGCAGAGGGGGAUGGAAUUCCGCGUGUAGCAGUGAAAUGCGUAGAUAUGCGGAGGAACACCGAUGGCGAAGGCAAUCCCCUGGGCCUGCACUGACGCUCAUGCACGAAAGCGUGGGGAGCAAACAGGAUUAGAUACCCGGGUAGUCC
This 450-nucleotide ribosomal RNA is filed under the name uncultured bacterium. RNAcentral describes it as "partial 16S ribosomal RNA". It matches the Rfam family "Bacterial small subunit ribosomal RNA", at positions 354 to 796 of the family's 1533-position model. The record is from RNAcentral.